Molecule: transfer RNA, 75 nt
Filed under: Rattus norvegicus (Norway rat)
Lineage: Eukaryota; Metazoa; Chordata; Mammalia; Rodentia; Muridae
Rfam family: tRNA
About the family: Transfer RNA (tRNA) molecules are approximately 80 nucleotides in length.
Source: Rfam by way of RNAcentral
GGGGAGGUGGCUCAGUGGGUGGGAGCACUUGCUGCUGAAGCAAGAGAGUCUGAGUUCAAACACUCAGCACUCACA